GCUCUAUAAGUAGAAGACGACCUGAUUCUGGGUCAGGGUUUCGUACGUAGCAGAGCAGCUACCUCACUGCAAUCUAUUGAAAGUCAUCCCUUGAGCCAAGCUUUUGAAAAAAUAAAAAAACAGAAAA
Long non-coding RNA from Nanorana parkeri, 127 nucleotides. RefSeq lists it as uncharacterized. The transcript has 3 exons. The record is from RefSeq and is a predicted model, not a curated record. Lineage: Eukaryota; Metazoa; Chordata; Amphibia; Anura; Dicroglossidae.